UAAGGAAUAUUGGACAAUGGACGCAAGUCUGAUCCAGCCAUGCCGCGUGAAGGAUGAAUGCCCUCUGGGUUGUAAACUUCUUUUAUAGGGGAAGAAAGAUACUUUUUUUAAGGUAGUUGACGGUACCCUAUGAAUAAGCACCGGCUAACUCCGUGCCAGCAGCCGCGGUAAUACGGAGGGUGCAAGCUUUAUCCGGAUUUACUGGGUUUAAAGGGUGCGUAGGCGGGCAUGUAAGUCAGUGGUGAAAUACCGGAGCUUAACUUCGGAACUGCCAUUGAUACUAUAUGUCUUGAAUAUUGUGGAGGUAAGCGGAAUAUGUCAUGUAGCGGUGAAAUGCAUAGAUAUGACAUAGAACACCGAUUGCGGAGGCAGCUUGCUACGCAAAUAUUGACGCUGAGGCACGAAAGCGUGGGGAUCAAACA
RNAcentral lists this ribosomal RNA (422 nucleotides) under uncultured bacterium. RNAcentral's name for it is "bacterial SSU rRNA". It matches the Rfam family "Bacterial small subunit ribosomal RNA", at positions 355 to 774 of the family's 1533-position model. The record is from RNAcentral.